This 444-nucleotide long non-coding RNA is filed under the name Capsella rubella. RNAcentral describes it as "long non-coding RNA (CRUB_LNC003729)". Lineage: Eukaryota; Viridiplantae; Streptophyta; Magnoliopsida; Brassicales; Brassicaceae. The record is from RNAcentral.
GGAUUUAAAGGGUAUUUUAGAAUAAUUAGGAUUUAAAUUUAAAUCAAAAAGGUGAAUUUUUGGUAAGAUACGUAUGUUGCAUAAGAAACAGAAAUAUGUCUAAGAUACGCAUACGUGGCAGAAAAAAGUUGGCUAAAUUCUUUUUUUUUUUUACUCAGUUUUUUUUUUUUCUCUCUUUGAAACCAAAACGAAAUGUCGCAUAAACAACAAAGUUACUUUACUGGAUUUUGAACUUGCCAGCUGAUUUCAUCGACCAAAACUGAACUAGUUUUUUUUUUUUUUUGAUUUUUUGAAGUUUUUGUAACAGCAAUAACUAUGAGUUAUAUUCAGCCUAUAUAUAAAACUUUGGUGCUUCUCAAUGCUCCUUUGAAGUUAAAUGGGAUCAUUUUGUUGUUUGAAUCGCUAAUUUAAUAAAUUGGUAUUUAAUCUGAUAACAUAUUUGAU